This 36-nucleotide ribosomal RNA is filed under the name Chenopodium album (lamb's quarters). Lineage: Eukaryota; Viridiplantae; Streptophyta; Magnoliopsida; Caryophyllales; Amaranthaceae. The record is from RNAcentral.
GGUGACCUCCUGGGAAGUCCUCGUGUUGCUCCCCCU